GAAUGGCUCAUUAAAUCAGUUAUCGUUUAUUUGAUAGUGCCCAACCACAUGGAUAACCGUGGUAAUUCUAGAGCUAAUACAUGCGUCGAACCGCGACUUCGGGAGCGGUGUAUUUAUUAGAUUAAAGACCAACGCCCUUCGGGGCUGUCCGGUGAUUCAUAAUAACUCCUCUGAUCGCACGGCCUUGCGCUGGCGACGGCUCAUUCAAAUUUCUGCCCUAUCAACUUUCGACUUUAGUGUAGUGGACUAAAGUGGUUGCAACGGGUAACGGAGGGUUAGGGCUCGACCCCGGAGAAGGAGCCUGAGAAACGGCUACUACAUCCAAGGAAGGCAGCAGGCGCGCAAAUUACCCAAUCCCGACACGGGGAGGUAGUGACAAUAAAUACUGAUACAGGGCUCUUUCGGGUCUUGUAAUCGGAAUGAGUACAAUUUAAAUCCCUUAACGAGGAACAAUUGGAGGGCAAGUCUGGUGCCAGCAGCCGCGGUAAUUCCAGCUCCAAUAGCGUAUAUUAAAGUUGUUGUGGUUAAAAAGCUCGUAGUUGAACCUGGGCCCGCGCCCGCCGGUCCGCCUCACCGCGUGCACUGGUGUGGCCGGGGCUUCCACCUGGGGGUACGCAUGCCCUUCGCUGGGCGUGCGGGGAGCCAGGACCUUUACUGUGAAAAAAUUAGAGUGUUCAAAGCAGGCCUAUGCUCGAAUACAUUAGCAUGGAAUAAUAGAAUAGGACGUGCGGUUCUAUUUUGUUGGUUAUGGGACCGCCGUAAUGAUUAAUAGGGACAGUCGGGGGCGUCAGUAUUCGGUGGUCAGAGGUGAAAUUCUUGGACCCACCGAAGACUAACUACUGCGAAAGCAUUCGCCAAGGAUGUUUUCAUUAAUCAGGAACGAAAGUUAGGGGAUCGAAAACGAUCAGAUACCGUCGUAGUCUUAACCAUAAACUAUGCCGACUAGGGAUCGGGCGAUGUUGCUUUCUGACUCGCUCGGCACCUUUCGA
RNAcentral lists this ribosomal RNA (989 nucleotides) under Lindriella thalassiae. RNAcentral describes it as "SSU rRNA". It matches the Rfam family "Eukaryotic small subunit ribosomal RNA", at positions 91 to 1093 of the family's 1831-position model. The record is from RNAcentral. Lineage: Eukaryota; Fungi; Ascomycota; Sordariomycetes; Lulworthiales; Lulworthiaceae.